Long non-coding RNA from Sebastes umbrosus (honeycomb rockfish), 748 nucleotides. RefSeq lists it as uncharacterized. The record is from RefSeq and is a predicted model, not a curated record. The transcript is spliced from 2 exons. NCBI's taxonomy places the organism in Eukaryota, Metazoa, Chordata, Actinopteri, Perciformes, Sebastidae.
ACACAUCAGGGCACGAUGUGGACACAUCAGGGCACGAUGUGGACACAUCAGGACACGAUGUGGACACAUCAGGGCACGAUCUGGACACAUCAGGGCACGAUGUGGACACAUCAGGGCACGAUGUGGACACAUCAGGACACGAUGACAACACAUCAGGACAUGUUACAGCGUCUUGUUUUCCUAUCGGAUAUGUGACAUGACGUGAGACAGGUUACCGUGUUACCACGUGGUUCUGGCAGCAGAGACUGGCGUUUAAUCCGAGCUGCUGCAGCCAAUCAGUCGAUGGAACGACAGACACACGGACGUGACCGUUCACACCUCUUUCUGACAGCAGCAGUGAAGGAACUUUCUAAUAAGGCACCCUUUAUUCAGACUUCAACACAUACAUACAUCUUUAACUGAAGCCUGGCAGCUUCUGGGGUUCUUUGUGAGUUCAGAUGAUCGCUGGACCGCUCUCUCUCUCUGUCUCUCUCUCUCUCUGUCUCUCUCUCUCUCUCUCUCUGUCUCUCUUCUGUUUAUUUAGUCUCUCUACGUUACUGUGUUCUGGUUACUUUAUGGGUUUAGAUAAAUGACCUUUGGCUUAUUUUAAGGUUGAUUUUAGGAGGAAAUCACAUGAUGUGUUUUUUGAUACCCAUCUCCUCCUGUUUCUCUGGUACUCGUUUUUAGUGCUGCCUGUCUCGGCCAACACGCUCUGGAGAAACAGAUCGUUAAUAUCGAUGAGCUACGGAAGCCCUGAGAGGCCAGAGAG